UGUCUUUGCUUCUUUGAGGUCACCUUUUUUUCCCUCCCAUUUUAAUUCUGUCAUAUGGAGAUGCUAUGUAAUGAGUUGAAAACAUAUGUUAGGUUUACGCAGUCUUGUUAUUUUUUGUAUCUUUUUGACUAAUAGAUUCCGAAAUAUAUAAUAGUGAGAGAUUUGUAUCUGUUUAAAAUAGCAUGCUGUGUAGUUCUUAUUGUAGUGUAAUUGUGACAGAAAUUAAGUAUAGUUUAAUAGUUUAUUUUAAAUAAAUAGUUUAUUUUAUGUUAUUUACUCUUUUAGCCCUGAGAGUUGUAUUUAAAGGUCUUGUGCUUCGUUUGAAAGAAAUCAAUCAAUAUUCAACAAAUUAUCUUCUUCUCUAAACACAACUCUCAAUUUAUCUUUGCAUAAUCUCAUUUGUACCGAAUUCUAUUCAAUUCAUUAGAAUUCCUACUUUGAGUUGAUUCUAUCGGUGUCGUCCCUAGAAUCUAUAUUAUCCGUUACAAUUGGAUAAUUUGAGAGUUGAUUCUAAUGAAUUGAAUAGAAUUCGGUACAAAUGAGAUUAUGCAAAGAUAAAUUGAGAGUUGUGUUUAGAGAAGAAGAUAAUUUGUUGAAUAUUGAUUGAUUUCUUUCAAACGAGGCACAAGACCUUUAAAUACAACUCUCAGGGCUAAAAGAGUAAAUAACAUAAAAUAAACUAUUUAUUUAAAAUAAACUAUUAAACUAUACUUAAUUUCUGUCACAGUAAUUCAUUUUAAUACUACUAAAUUAGUUGAGUUUCUAACUUUUUUAAUCCUUCUUUUUUU
This 788-nucleotide long non-coding RNA is filed under the name Trifolium pratense (red clover). Its description in RNAcentral is "long non-coding RNA (TPRA_LNC008565)". Lineage: Eukaryota; Viridiplantae; Streptophyta; Magnoliopsida; Fabales; Fabaceae. The record is from RNAcentral.